GAUGAACGCUAGCGGGAGGCCUAACACAUGCAAGCCGAGCGGUAUUGUUUCUUCUGCAAUGAGAGAGCGGCGUACGGGUGCGUAACACGUGUGCAACCUGCCUUUAUCUGGGGGAUAGCCUUUCGAAAGGAAGAUUAAUACUCCAUAAUAUAUUGAACGGCAUCGUUUAAUAUUGAAAGCUCCGGCGGAUAGAGAUGGGCACGCGCAAGAUUAGCUAGUUGGUGAGGUAACGGCUCACCAAGGCGAUGAUCUUUAGGGGGCCUGAGAGGGUGAUCCCCCACACUGGUACUGAGACACGGACCAGACUCAUACGGGAGGCAGCAGUGAGGAAUAUUGGUCAAUGGGUGCAAGCCUGAACCAGCCAUCCCGCGUGAAGGACGACUGCCCUAUGGGUUGUAAACUUCUUUUGUAUAGGGAUAAACCUACCCUCGAGAGGGUAGCUGAAGGUACUAUACGAAUAAGCACCGGCUAACUCCGUG
RNAcentral lists this ribosomal RNA (479 nucleotides) under uncultured bacterium. RNAcentral's name for it is "partial 16S ribosomal RNA". It matches the Rfam family "Bacterial small subunit ribosomal RNA", at positions 28 to 507 of the family's 1533-position model. The record is from RNAcentral.